Molecule: ribosomal RNA, 1234 nt
Filed under: Vibrio harveyi
Lineage: Bacteria; Pseudomonadati; Pseudomonadota; Gammaproteobacteria; Vibrionales; Vibrionaceae
Description: bacterial SSU rRNA
Rfam family: Bacterial small subunit ribosomal RNA
Source: RNAcentral
CUGAGCCUUCGGGGGACGAUAACGGCGUCGAGCGGCGGACGGGUGAGUAAUGCCUAGGAAAUUGCCCUGGUGUGGGGGAUAACCAUUGGAAACGAUGGCUAAUACCGCAUAAUACCUACGGGUCAAAGAGGGGGACCUUCGGGCCUCUCGCGUCAGGAUAUGCCUAGGUGGGAUUAGCUAGUUGGUGAGGUAAUGGCUCACCAAGGCGACGAUCCCUAGCUGGUCUGAGAGGAUGAUCAGCCACACUGGAACUGAGACACGGUCCAGACUCCUACGGGAGGCAGCAGUGGGGAAUAUUGCACAAUGGGCGCAAGCCUGAUGCAGCCAUGCCGCGUGUGUGAAGAAGGCCUUCGGGUUGUAAAGCACUUUCAGUCGUGAGGAAGGUAGUGUAGUUAAUAGCUGCAUUAUUUGACGUUAGCGACAGAAGAAGCACCGGCUAACUCCGUGCCAGCAGCCGCGGUAAUACGGAGGGUGCGAGCGUUAAUCGGAAUUACUGGGCGUAAAGCGCAUGCAGGUGGUUUGUUAAGUCAGAUGUGAAAGCCCGGGGCUCAACCUCGGAAUAGCAUUUGAAACUGGCAGACUAGAGUACUGUAGAGGGGGGUAGAAUUUCAGGUGUAGCGGUGAAAUGCGUAGAGAUCUGAAGGAAUACCGGUGGCGAAGGCGGCCCCCUGGACAGAUACUGACACUCAGAUGCGAAAGCGUGGGGAGCAAACAGGAUUAGAUACCCUGGUAGUCCACGCCGUAAACGAUGUCUACUUGGAGGUUGUGGCCUUGAGCCGUGGCUUUCGGAGCUAACGCGUUAAGUAGACCGCCUGGGGAGUACGGUCGCAAGAUUAAAACUCAAAUGAAUUGACGGGGGCCCGCACAAGCGGUGGAGCAUGUGGUUUAAUUCGAUGCAACGCGAAGAACCUUACCUACUCUUGACAUCCAGAGAACUUUCCAGAGAUGGAUUGGUGCCUUCGGGAACUCUGAGACAGGUGCUGCAUGGCUGUCGUCAGCUCGUGUUGUGAAAUGUUGGGUUAAGUCCCGCAACGAGCGCAACCCUUAUCCUUGUUUGCCAGCACUUCGGGUGGGAACUCCAGGGAGACUGCCGGUGAUAAACCGGAGGAAGGUGGGGACGACGUCAAGUCAUCAUGGCCCUUACGAGUAGGGCUACACACGUGCUACAAUGGCGCAUACAGAGGGCGGCCAACUUGCGAGAGUGAGCGAAUCCCAAAAAGUGCGUCGUAGUCCC